Long non-coding RNA from Gasterosteus aculeatus aculeatus (three-spined stickleback), 1589 nucleotides. Lineage: Eukaryota; Metazoa; Chordata; Actinopteri; Perciformes; Gasterosteidae. The record is from Ensembl.
GUAUAAAAUGUUGACAUUUGACUAUGCCAUGUUUUUGUUCUGUUUUUGUUUAUUUGGUCAUGUAAGUGUUGCACAGUAUACAUGUCAUUCAUAAGUGGGAGUGUUAAGAGUGUAUGAAUGCAUGUACCUGUAACUGUUUCCUGAGUCGUGAUAUCAAGAGCACCAUUCCCAUAUAAGGGCAGUGUUCCCUCCCCUUUCUCAGUGUGUACCCGUCUCUCCCGUGAGCGGGCAGUUGAGCAUGUUGUGCUUGCAUUAAAGAAUGCCACGAGUCGGAUGGCUAAAGAGAUAAACGCCUGGACGUCCGUUCAUUCUCUGAAUAUCAUUGUUCCGCCGCGCAGGUAGGAGUAAGCCUACCUAUUAACAGAGAAGGCGCGCGAGGUGGUGGCGAGCGGCGUGGUGGCCCGCGGGGCGCAAGUGCCCGUUCUGUCGCUCGCCGUGCCGGCUGUCAGGGUGACGGACGGCGGUUGUUUUUACGGGAGACCCACAGGUCGGAAUGGUUGAAGGGCACACUGGGGGAACAUGGUAGUCAGCGACAAUGGAAACCUUUCAACUUUUCCUUGCAAACGACCACCGGGUCAAAGACGUCCUUACACUGGAUUAAUUGGGCCUUGCAAUAUUGAAUCCUGCGUCGUCUCCUGCCGUACAUCCAUUGAGUCAUAUCUUGGUCAGGUUUUUUUAACAUUGUUUCAUUCUCAAAAGAUGAAGCCAGUAUCAUUCAAGAGUCAAGGACAUCAGCAAAAACUGUUGACAGCAGUGUUUGAAGUAAAUGAGAAAGCUGAGCCCUCACAGAGCUCCUGAAAGGCAGUGAUAGAGCAAGAUGGGCGAGCGGGGCCAUGGUGGUGAUGGCGCUGACCUUCUGAUCAGGUUUAGUGGCUGCCCCUACGCCUGGCCCCGAAGGGGGGGGGGGAUCAAUAGAAUGGCAGGCUGCCAGUUUGAUAGAGGUGAAGUUUAGCUAAGAGAAUAGGGUGAGAUAGGGAGGGCUAUAGAUAUCUGAGUAGGAAUUAUCCAUGACACCUGGGCUCUCAAGCUGCAACCUUUAAGCGCAUGAUUUGGGAUCACUCCUAUUGGCGGGAUAGCCGUGGCACAUUCAGCACAUUCAAUACAGGCCAUUGUGCUCUGUCGGCUCCCACAGCUGAGAGACAUUUUCGGUUGUUUGUUUAGAGAUGCCUCCUACCUGCAGUGUUUCAGCCAGGCAUAUUCAAUUCUCUUUCGCACCUUCUUUAGUUUCACUUAUUUGUCAAGAUGAUGUGGGAAAAUCCCCUUUAAGUCAUUCAGUACAAACUUAUAUUUUUCUGCACUAGUGAGUUGAUAUGAAAAUGUUCUUUUUUUUUUUUUCAAGCUAUAGUAUAUCAUUCUUGAUAAUCUCUGUUUGCCGCCAGGAUGGUGUCAAUAAACUGACAUGUUGAGGACAAAUACAACAGCGUUUAUCUUGGUAGGAAUUCACAGCCUUUGCUUUAAACAAAGGUAAAAAAAGAGCUGUGCUUUCAUGUUUUGCAGAGGGAUAAACAUGGAUGAGACGGAAAAUGUUGGCUAUCAAAAGGUUGACAUUGAGCUAUUGUAGAUAGAAUGAAGGAUACAAGCGACGGAGC